Molecule: ribosomal RNA, 733 nt
Filed under: Cosmocercoides tonkinensis
Lineage: Eukaryota; Metazoa; Nematoda; Chromadorea; Rhabditida; Cosmocercidae
Description: partial large subunit ribosomal RNA
Rfam family: Eukaryotic large subunit ribosomal RNA
Source: RNAcentral
CCCAGCGCUGAAUCCUUUAGCCUCUGGCUACCAGGAAAUGUAGCGUAUAGGUGCAGCUAUUCGUUCUCUUCGCGCACCCAAAGUCCCCUUGAGCGGGGCUACAGUCCAUAGAAGGUGCUAGACCUGUACGGGUGGCGAGGUGUUCGAUUUGUUGCUCCUUGGAGUCGGGUUGCCUGAGAUCGCAGCCCAAAGAGGGUGGUAAACCUCAUCUAAGGCUAAAUAUGACCACGAGACCGAUAGCAAACAAGUACCGUGAGGGAAAGUUGCAAAGAACUUUGAAGAGAGAGUUCAAGAGGGCGUGAAACCGCUGAGAUGGAAACGGAUAGAGUUGACGAAACUCGGCGGCAUUCAACCGGUCAGCUUAGUGGCCUUGCGGUUUUGCGCCUCGACGAGGGCAAGGACGUGAGUGACUAUUGAGCACUUGAUUGGUGUAUUUGCCGUCGGUAUGCGCCGAGAGCCUCGGCUUCGUGCGCUGACGUGUGUGUAGUGGACCACUCCUUCCGGGCGUGGAACCCUGCGCAUAAUGAGGCGCAUCGGGGGUGAGGUUGGUAUACUGUCUCCGCUUUGGCGCAACGGUUGCUGCGUGCUGUGGUUGCUGUUGGGCGGUCGCGUGCGACUUGCCUAUAGUUAGCUGCGAUGCGUGGUGAUGCGGAUGCGUUGAGACAUGUGUCUCGGUGUGAACGUUGACCACCUAUCCGACCCGUCUUGAAACACGGACCAAGGAGUCUAGCAU